CCUACGGGUGGCAGCAGUGAGGAAUAUUGGUCAAUGGACGCGAGUCUGAACCAGCCAAGUAGCGUGAAGGAUGACUGCCCUACGGGUUGUAAACUUCUUUUAUAAAGGAAUAAAACGAGGCACGUGUGCCUUUUUGCAUGGACUUUAUGAAUAAGGAUCGGCUAAAUCCGUGCCAGCAGCCGCGGUAAUUCGGAGGAUCCGAGCGUUAUCCGGAUUUUUUGGGUUUAAAGGGAGCGUAGAGGGGUUGUUAAGUCAGUUGUGAAAGUUUGCGGCUUAAACCUAAAAUUGCAAUUGAUACUGGCAGUCUUGAGUAGAGGAGAGGUAGGCGGAAUUCGUGGUGUAGCGGUGAAAUGCUUAGAUAUCACGAAGAACCCCGAUUGCGAAGGCAGCUUACUAAACUGUGACUGACAUUGAUGCUCGAAAGUGUGGGGAUCAAACAGGAUUAGAUACCCCAGUAGUC
Molecule: ribosomal RNA, 460 nt
Filed under: uncultured bacterium
Lineage: Bacteria
Description: partial 16S ribosomal RNA
Rfam family: Bacterial small subunit ribosomal RNA
Source: RNAcentral